This is a long non-coding RNA of Amphiprion ocellaris (clown anemonefish), 1871 nucleotides long. RefSeq lists it as uncharacterized. The record is from RefSeq and is a predicted model, not a curated record. NCBI's taxonomy places the organism in Eukaryota, Metazoa, Chordata, Actinopteri, Pomacentridae. The transcript is spliced from 4 exons.
CCUUUUAGCUGCGUGCUGCAGCGAGGCUAAGCUAGUGGGGGCAAAGUUUCAGUGCAUUCUGUUGAUGUAGACGGCGUGAAAACGGAAACAACAAGUAUGCCGGCUCACUGUGCUGCAUACAAUUACACACUACGUCGUACGAUUGAGACAAGGAAACUUGGAAUGACUUUUCAUAGGUUUCCCAGAGACUAUGGGUUGAGGAGGAAUUGGAAGUUUGUCGGCUUAGACCUGGUGUCAUUCCAUGAGUGAUAAACUUCCCGGCUCAUCUUGGAAGAGUACGUGCCAGAAAGACCACGACCAAGCAGCCUUGAGAUCUUAGACAGCGUCUCCCUCAGGUCCCUCUCUAUCUCCCCACACAUCCACCAACCACUGGAACACAUCUCCAAAGUUCUGCCGGGCCAGCUCAGCUUCCCCUCAGAAGAAGUGCCGCCACCUGCCAGAUGAAGGAGCCUUUUGAGAGGCAGCUGACAUCGUGAUUGGACUGUACUUUGGUCUGUUCCAAUCCAGCUUCAGCUCCAGAGACGGCAGGCGGGACGAGUCAACGGAGGCCGGAUGGACGAAGGCAUGAAGCUGAGUACAAUCCAGAAAACAACAGAGGAGGAGUGCAGCAGCCAGAACAACCAGAGUAGCAUCACCAAAGAACUACAGACUCUUCACAACCUGCUCAAACUCUUGGUACAGGACCUCACCACACGGGUCAAGAAGGUUUCUGUCUCAUUUCUACUCUGAAGCUCACCUUCUCCUGCUCAAACUGCUGACAAAUGUUUCUGCUGCUCUAAAGUCUGGUCUCCAGAACUUCCUAAAAACUCUCAAAGUCUCUUCUGCUGCAGGUUGCUUUGUAGAACUGUUCCAGAAAACCUCACUAAACCACAUGGAGGGGCCUCAAGAUAGUCGUCCAAAUGAAACCAUAAAAAACCAAACUAGCACAACCCAAACGCUAAAGUCUCCUGCAGCCUACCAGAGAACCUCUGAGAACAGAGAAUCAGGACAGGAACUCUUACCUUCUGGACAACCAACGUGGUUCACAAACAAGAAUACAGAAUGUGUCUGACCAAAAACCUCUGAAGACUCACUACAGCCAAGAUAAAGACACAACUCAGCUGCACCAAAUCCACUAAUCACUGCACACAUUAGCACCAUGUGCUAACUGUGGCUAAAGAACCACAUUUACCAAGACAACUAUCCAGUACAAAGCCCUAAAACACACCAAGAAACACAUUAAAGACGAUUUUACUGCUGGAAGCUGCAAGCCAACGCCUAAAGAACAAACUAAAGCAAUGGAGCCAAACCCAGUUCAGUGGUGAAGAGAAGCAGAGGAAAUGUUUGUCUGCAGCUAAAUAAAGCAGGAAGACACUGAGCUGCUCAGGUGUUCCUGAUAACACCAAGCAGCCACCUGGACAGCCAAUAGGAACACAGCUUACUGGAAGUCCAGAGGGCUGGGUUAGUGAAGGAAAUUUAGUUUAAAGUUGAAGCAGAAAGUUAACAAAGAAAGUUGAAAACCACCUUCUGAUACCUGAAAUCUCUGAGUUUUCACACAAAGAACACCUGAACAUGUCAAACUGGUUCCAUAGUAGAACCAUCAUUGUAAAAACGUCAUAGUAUGGUGUGUUGCUCAAAAAACAUUAGGACCCGGCUGUCAGGGGACAAACAUGUAAGAAACAUGAGAACAGAGAGAACCCAACCAGUAGGUCACAGUUUAUCAUCCCCCAGUCAUCUCCUGAAGUCCAUAUGGUGAGAGACAUCAGUAUCUGGUUGUUAAUUUACCAGAGGAUGCUUAUAAUCAUGCUGAUGUGGUCUGUACUCUACAGUAUUUUAGUGACUCAAUAAAUGCCUAAGUUGUUUUUUUUAAAAUGCUUUUUAGUUUUUAAUAA